This is a long non-coding RNA of Pyrus x bretschneideri (Chinese white pear), 2074 nucleotides long. RefSeq lists it as uncharacterized. The record is from RefSeq and is a predicted model, not a curated record. The transcript is spliced from 9 exons. Lineage: Eukaryota; Viridiplantae; Streptophyta; Magnoliopsida; Rosales; Rosaceae.
UUUUUUUCCCUUAUUUCUUCUUCCUCUGCUUUGCUUUAGCUGCUGCUUCUUCUUCUCCCCCCUUUUGGUUCCCCCUCUCUUGCUUUAUUUCUUCUGAUGUUUUCUCUCUCUCUCUCUCUCUCUCUCUCUCUCUCUCUCUUGCUCUCUUCAAAAUCCCACAACAGUGUUUGGAGUUGGAGGCUUUUGCUCUGUUGGGUUUUUUUUUUUUUUUUUUUUUUUGCCAAUAACUCAAAGGGCCGAAAGAUUCAUUACAGACACAGUAAAUAAGUACAUUUUAAAUUCGUAUUUCAUAACUUGGUUGCUUAAUUCUACUGCCACUGUUCAUCGGCCUCUCCUACGAAACAGCAAGGGUAUAUCACUAUGGAAGAACUAGAGCAAGUCCUCCACGAAUACGGCUUGCAUGGUGAAUUUUAAUCUUUCCAGGUACAACCAUAUUUCACUCCCUCUGAUCUUUGAGAGGAUAAACACUGUUUGACUGAUCGCACAAGAUUGGUUCCUGUGACCACUGCUCAGCUUCAUGUACAAAUAUGACUAGCGGGUCAAGUUCCAUAAGGAGGUGGAAGCAGAAGAAGAAUUGGCGUCACCCUUCAGUUUUUCAACCAAAAGGAGUACUAUGAAUUGGGACCCAACAAUCCACCAUAUGCUGGCAAGUUCUACGACUUUUGUGGGGCUGAGGAUCCUGAGGCAGCCAGCUGCACUACCAGUUUCCAUGUUUCUAUGAUGACGAUUGAUCCAUGUAAUAUCUCUCUUUUAAGAUUCAUCAUUUCAUUCAGUCUUGCUCUUGCACUCUAACCAAGGUUCUGUAUCUCCAAUAAUCUCAUCUCUUUUAUAGAAACAUGAAGUUGAUGCGUAAUUGGGUUUUUUUUCUUUCCUUGAGGUCUCUGUUUGUUUUCAUUACUGUAUUGAUGUUUUCUGCCGUUGUUUAUACAAUUCUAAGAGGAGAGAGAUUAAUGGCAUGAGGGUAAAAAAAACAAGGGAAGGAGGGAAAGAUGAGGAAUGCACGGGUUGGCCUGAGUUUUAUUUAAUUGGUUUGGGAUUUUGUUUAUGUUUGGGAUUCUUUUCCCUAAUUAAUAUUUUUUUUGAAUUCAUAUAGAAUUUUGUUUAUGUUUGGGGUUGUCAUGUUCGAGUAUUUAAUUUGGUAUUUAGUAGUUUACGUUACAGUUGUCGGUUUUACAAGCGAAAAUGCUUUUUCUGAUAUAUGUGCAAAUGUUAACACUUUGUAGAUUUUCAGUUUUUAAACAAUAAGAUAAUGUAACCGUUUAGACUCCAGAGUGCUUUGUCAUUAAGGUAAAUGAUUUUCGUUUUUUGCUUUGUGCCUUUUCUGAUUCAUGUUUUAACACGUAUUGAAUAAUUUCCAAAUUAACGACUGGUUCUUGCAGCUGCAUGAAGGGACGGACUAUUCAAGCUUUGCAAGUUAAUUCAAGGGCCUUAAUCACUAUAUAAGGUGAGAAAGGGAUCAUCGAUCUGAAAUGAGCUUUUUAUGUCAGGAUGACACACCUAUUGGGGCAAUGUUGGGAUGUUUAGGCUUGGGUGGAGACGUGGACUUACGGAAGAGGUGAAGUAGCUUAGCUCUCUGUCAUUAACUUUAUCUUUUCUAUGCAUCUCUACAAUCUUACAAUGCUCUUUUAUUAAAGUGCAAGAUGUUGGGACCGGUUACUGGAAUACGAGAUUUGGAACAAAAGUGGUUGACAAUACAAGAGUCGAAACCAAGUGUGAAAUUCACAUUGAAAAUGACAGGUCAAAAUGCUAAUCAUAUUCUGAAAAAUGUUGGGUUUCCUGAUGAGUACUCUGGCCGAAUUCAAGAGGCUAAUUUAGUGAUUUGCAGUUAAUUUUGUAAAUUCAUUGAAUGAAGUCAUUUGUUAUUUAGCUUAUCUUGUGUUUAGUUUGGUUUUAGGAGAGGGUUGCGCAUGAUCUAUAGAAUCACAAUUAAGGGUCAGUUUUUCCAACAAUUUUUCUUUUUCUUUUUGCUUCAUGUUUGUGCAUGUUUGGUCUCUGAGAUUUUGUUUUUAGUCACUGUUGAUUUGUAGUUUAUGUCUCCCUUUGGCUACAUAUUGACACAAGUUUAUUCUCGGCA